UGAUGAACAAGAUACGAUGUUUAUGGCAGCUGCUUCUCCCAUUGGGUUAACGGGCCAUGGAUGCAGCGCUACCUCACAGUUGCCUUGUGGACAGGGCAUGACAGAGAUUUAUGCAGAGCAGGAAAGGGUUGUUCUAACAAAGUUUCGGGAUUGCCUUAAUAGGCUCAUAACAUUUGGAGAAAUAAAAGAAACCAAGUGUUCAUCAUUAGCAAGAACUGAACUGGGGAAUCAAAGAGAUCAAUUAAGCAAUGGCACAAUGAAUUCCAGAGCUGAAUUGGGAAAUCAACAGGGACCUUAUAGCAAUGGUGUUUCCAAACAUUUUAUUCCACCUACGUCCAAGACAGCGCCAAUAGUUACUUCUAUGGUUGCCACCUCCAGUAACGAUCUUCCAAAAGUUCCAGCCCUCCCACAAAAUGAGGACAACAAACCAAUGACUUGAAAAGAGAUUGUAAAGAGAUUUUAUCUCUAAAGGCUGGCCCAAGCCCCAAGGUAUGCUUAUGAAUGAUCAAUGAUAAUUCUGGCUUUGUCCUUAAUGCAAUCCUAAGGUGGCACUGGGCCCCAUUGUUGGCACUGACUAGGAUCUGAUUUAUUCCUCAUGUCAUCAAUAUAUUUACGCAUCAGUCUUUCUGCUUCAGCCACAA
RNAcentral lists this unclassified non-coding RNA (641 nucleotides) under Hevea brasiliensis (rubber tree). Lineage: Eukaryota; Viridiplantae; Streptophyta; Magnoliopsida; Malpighiales; Euphorbiaceae. The record is from RNAcentral.